AAAUCAAUGAUGAUGGGUCGAAGGAAGUGGUAUGGUGAAUCUCUUGAGCCUACGUACAGAAACUUGAUGAGGUCAAAUGAUGGGUAAGGUUGCUCUACAAAUCGAAGUCCAAAAGGUAAAUGUAAGACCAAGACGGUAAAUCAAAGCAAGAUUGUAUCAUACAAUCUU
This is a non-coding RNA of Enterococcus pallens ATCC BAA-351, 168 nucleotides long. Lineage: Bacteria; Bacillati; Bacillota; Bacilli; Lactobacillales; Enterococcaceae. The record is from Rfam.